AACGCACAUUGCGCCCGCCAGUAUUCUGGCGGGCAUGCCUGUUCGAGCGUCAUUUCAACCAUCAAGCCCCCGGCUUGUGUUGGGGACCUGCGGCUGCCGCAGGCCCUGAAAUCCAGUGGCGGGCUCGCUGUCGCACCGAGCGUAGUAGCAUACUUCUCGCUCCGGGAGCGCGGCGGGCGCCUGCCGUAAAACCCCCCCCCCUACAUACCAAAGGUUGACCUCGGAUCAGGUAGGAAUACCCGCUGAACUUAA
This 252-nucleotide unclassified non-coding RNA is filed under the name uncultured fungus. RNAcentral describes it as "partial contains 5.8S ribosomal RNA, internal transcribed spacer 2, and large subunit ribosomal RNA". The stretch from base 1 to 52 matches the Rfam family "5.8S ribosomal RNA", at positions 103 to 154 of the family's 154-position model. The record is from RNAcentral. Lineage: Eukaryota; Fungi.